GCUCGCAUGGCGAAAUUGGUAGACGCGAUAGACUCAAAAUCUAUUUUCUGAUGAAGAAGUCUCGGUUCAAGUCCGAGUGCGAGCACCA
This 88-nucleotide transfer RNA is filed under the name Bacilli bacterium. Its description in RNAcentral is "tRNA-Leu". It matches the Rfam family "tRNA". Rfam says of the family: Transfer RNA (tRNA) molecules are approximately 80 nucleotides in length. Their secondary structure includes four short double-helical elements and three loops (D, anti-codon, and T loops). Lineage: Bacteria; Bacillati; Bacillota; Bacilli. The record is from RNAcentral.